UACGAGUGGCUCAAGCGUUAUCCGGAAUUAUUGGGCGUAAAGGAUGUGUAGGUGGUUUUGUUAGUUAAGUGUCCAACCUCUCUGGCUCAACCAGGAGAUAGCACUUAAAACGGCAUGACUAGAGUAUGUUAGGGGUAAGCGGAACUCAUAGUGUAGGGGUGAAAUCCGUUGAUAUUAUGGGGAACACCAAAAGCGAAGGCAGCUUACUGGGACAUUACUGACACUGAAACAUGAAAGCGUGGGCAGCGAAUGGG
RNAcentral lists this ribosomal RNA (254 nucleotides) under uncultured bacterium. Its description in RNAcentral is "partial 16S ribosomal RNA". It matches the Rfam family "Bacterial small subunit ribosomal RNA", at positions 524 to 776 of the family's 1533-position model. The record is from RNAcentral.